Molecule: ribosomal RNA, 497 nt
Filed under: uncultured bacterium
Lineage: Bacteria
Description: partial 16S ribosomal RNA
Rfam family: Bacterial small subunit ribosomal RNA
Source: RNAcentral
GAUGAACGCUGGCGGCGUGCCUAAUACAUGCCAGUCGAGCGAACAGAUGAGGAGCUUGCUCGUCUGACGUUAGCGGCGGACGGGUGAGUAACACGUGUAUAACCUACCUAUAAGACUGGGAUAACUUCGGGAAACCGGAGCUAAUACCGGAUAAUAUAUUGAACCGCAUGGUUUAAUAGUUAAAGACGGUUUUGCUGUCACUUAUAGAUGGAUCCGCGCCGCAUUAGCUAGUUGGUAAGGUAACGGCUUACCAAGGCAACGAUGCGUAGCCGACCUGAGAGGGUGAUCGGCCACACUGGAACUGAGACACGGUCCAGACUCCUACGGGAGGCAGCAGUAGGGAAUCUUCCGCAAUGGGCGAAAGCCUAACGCAGCAACGCCGCGUGAGUGAUGAAGGUCUUCGGAUCGUAAAACUCUGUUAUUAGGGAAGAACAGAUGUGUACGUAACAAUGCACGUCUUGACGGUACCUAAUCAGAAAGCCACGGCUAACUACGUG